GAUGAACGCUGGCGGCGUGCCUAACACAUGCAAGUCGAACGAGAUCUUCGGGUCUAGUGGCGCACGGGUGCGUAACGCGUGGGAAUCUGCCCUUUGGUUCGGAAUAACAGUUGGAAACGACUGCUAAUACCGGAUGAUGACGAAAGUCCAAAGAUUUAUCGCCAGAGGAUGAGCCCGCGUAGGAUUAGCUAGGUGGUGUGGUAAAGGCGCACCAAGGCGACGAUCCUUAGCUGGUCUGAGAGGAUGAUCAGCCACACUGGGACUGAGACACGGCCCAGACUCCUACGGGAGGCAGCAGUGGGGAAUAUUGGACAAUGGGCGAAAGCCUGAUCCAGCAAUGCCGCGUGAGUGAUGAAGGCCUUAGGGUUGUAAAGCUCUUUUACCCGGGAUGAUAAUGACAGUACCGGGAGAAUAAGCUCCGGCUAACUCCGUGCCAGCCGCCGCCGUAA
RNAcentral lists this ribosomal RNA (449 nucleotides) under uncultured bacterium. RNAcentral's name for it is "partial 16S ribosomal RNA". It matches the Rfam family "Bacterial small subunit ribosomal RNA", at positions 28 to 523 of the family's 1533-position model. The record is from RNAcentral.